Cyanistes caeruleus (blue tit) is the source of this 436-nucleotide non-coding RNA. Lineage: Eukaryota; Metazoa; Chordata; Aves; Passeriformes; Paridae. The record is from RefSeq and is a predicted model, not a curated record.
UUGACCAUAAAUCUAUGCAUGGGAUGUGCAAGGAUGUCAUAUAAACCUUUCAGCCUGGGAAGUUAUGGCUAUUCUGCUAAGGGGAACUGCAGCUGCUGGUAUCUGUCUUCCUUCUGAGGUGCAGUUUUCAUGCACAUUAGUCACCCUGAGCAGCCUGCACAAAGUUGAUCCUGACCUGCACCGUGCCAUCUUUUGCCAGCAGGCUUCACUGCUAAUCUACCAUGAAGGAUGCUUCAUUUGCCGCCAGCAUGAAGAUGUCACCUAUGCUGUGUGCAGGACUGCCAGUAGCACGGAUGGUCUCUCUGCAGGGGUGGCAUGGAGGAACAGCCCUGCAUCAGAAAGAUGUUUCAAAACACUGUACAAAGAAAAUGAAUGGUGUGCCUGGGGUAGGCUGCUAGGCUCAGAGGAAAGGCUAUGAAUAAAGGUAUCAUAUAUC